RNAcentral lists this transfer RNA (104 nucleotides) under Aspergillus niger. Its description in RNAcentral is "tRNA-Ser". It matches the Rfam family "tRNA". From Rfam's summary of the family: Transfer RNA (tRNA) molecules are approximately 80 nucleotides in length. Their secondary structure includes four short double-helical elements and three loops (D, anti-codon, and T loops). Further hydrogen bonds mediate the characteristic L-shaped molecular structure. tRNAs have two regions of fundamental functional importance: the anti-codon, which is responsible for specific mRNA codon recognition, and the 3' end, to which the tRNAs corresponding amino acid is attached (by aminoacyl-tRNA synthetases). tRNAs cope with the degeneracy of the genetic code in two manners: having more than one tRNA (with a specific anti-codon) for a particular amino acid; and 'wobble' base-pairing, i.e. permitting non-standard base-pairing at the 3rd anti-codon position. Lineage: Eukaryota; Fungi; Ascomycota; Eurotiomycetes; Eurotiales; Aspergillaceae. The record is from RNAcentral.
GACACUUUGGCCGAGUGGUUAAGGCGCAGGCCUGCUAUUACAUUCCUGUAUCAGUUAAUUAGCCUGUGGGUUCGCCCUCCUGGGUUCGAAUCCCAGAGGUGUCG